CCGGCCCAGCUCAGUUGGGGGUAGCGCAUGACUGUUAAUCUUGCUGCCUUAGGUUCGAGGCCGACGGCCGGA
Molecule: transfer RNA, 72 nt
Filed under: Enterococcus lactis
Lineage: Bacteria; Bacillati; Bacillota; Bacilli; Lactobacillales; Enterococcaceae
Description: tRNA-Asn
Source: RNAcentral